CCUACGGGAGGCAGCAGUGAGGAAUAUUGGUCAAUGGCCGAGAGGCUGAACCAGCCAAGUCGCGUGAGGGAAGACGGCCCUACGGGUUGUAAACCUCUUUUGUCGGGGAGCAAAGCGAGUCACGUGUGACUCAUUGAGAGUACCCGAAGAAAAAGCAUCGGCUAACUCCGUGCCAGCAGCCGCGGUAGACGGAGGGUGCGAGCGUUAAUCGGAUUUACUUGGUGUAAAGGGUGGGCAGGGGGAGGUGCAAGUCAGCGGUCAAAUUGGGGGGCUAAAACCCGUACUGCCGUUGAAAAUGCAUCCCUUGAGUGCGCGAGAAGUAUGCGGAAUGCGUGGUGUAGCGGUGAAAUGCAUAGAUAUCACGCAGAACUCCGAUUGCGAAGGCAGCAUACCGGCGCGCAACUGACGCUCAUGCACGAAAGCGUGGGUAUCGAACAGGAUUAGAUACCCCUGUAGUC
RNAcentral lists this ribosomal RNA (458 nucleotides) under uncultured bacterium. RNAcentral's name for it is "partial 16S ribosomal RNA". It matches the Rfam family "Bacterial small subunit ribosomal RNA", at positions 338 to 795 of the family's 1533-position model. The record is from RNAcentral.